AAUUAUGCUGUUGCGUUAAAAGCUCGUAGUUGAAUCUUCAGACGCGCGCAAACGGUCGACCGCACGGUCGCUCCGUUCGGCCCGCGGCCUACGCGUAGCUCAGGCCGGCCGCUUGCACUUGACCGUGUGAGCCCGGCGCUGCUGCACGUCCACCUUGAGGAAAGUGAACCGCUCGCAGGAGGCGUUCCGUUAGUACAAUACAGCAUGUUAUGAUGCAACAUGGGCUGGCGCUCUGUUCGAUGGAUUAAGAGAUGGCGAGCCAAUGAUUAAUAUUGACUGCCGGGGUCAUUCGUACUCGGACGGGAGAGGUGAUUUCAAGGAUCGUCCGAGACGCUAACUGCGAAGCAUUUGCCAAGAAUGUUUUGUUAAUCAAGAACGAAAGUCAGAGGCGCGAAGCAAA
RNAcentral lists this ribosomal RNA (400 nucleotides) under Anguinella palmata. RNAcentral's name for it is "bacterial SSU rRNA". It matches the Rfam family "Eukaryotic small subunit ribosomal RNA", at positions 603 to 1007 of the family's 1831-position model. Lineage: Eukaryota; Metazoa; Bryozoa; Gymnolaemata; Ctenostomatida; Nolellidae. The record is from RNAcentral.